GUCUCAUCUAUAGAAGCAAAGAGUGUUCUCAAAUAAUGGAAAGGAACAUCUUUUUCAUGUUAAUUAAGCAAAGGAGUGGAGAAAGUGUGGGAAAUCGCCAUGUAUUGCACAUACCAGAGAGGAGGAAAUCGCACUGUUGAAGAGCAUACAGGCUGCGCAGUAAUUCAUGCACUCUUCCCUUUCUGGCAAAGAUGAACAGGAGGCAGAGGGGAGAUGUGGUGAAACCCUUGAAGCCUUGUGUGAAGCUCAUUUUUUACAAAGGGAAUUCUCCACCCAAAGAAACUGGAAGUCUGGUUGGAGUUUCUCCUUCAGCAAUGAGGCCAACAUGUGCUUUCAAGUUUGCAGAACAUCCUUUUUUAAUGUGAGACGUGAUGGGAUACCAACUGAAUCCAUCCAGCCACAAUCAGCAGUUUGUAUGUUCAGGUACCUCCUGGCCAUCUGGCCCUACUCUCGCUCCCACCCAGGUGCCCCCCACUUCUCCGUGCCCCCGGCUGGUCUCUCGUCACAGUUACCUGGCUCCGCACGCCUGUUUCCAACUCAGGCUCUGAACGUUCUUCAAACCUAAAGCUGAUCUAAGCUGGGACGUACCAGUUUACCGU
Chroicocephalus ridibundus (black-headed gull) is the source of this 599-nucleotide long non-coding RNA. RefSeq lists it as uncharacterized. Lineage: Eukaryota; Metazoa; Chordata; Aves; Charadriiformes; Laridae. The record is from RefSeq and is a predicted model, not a curated record. The transcript has 3 exons.